This 1195-nucleotide long non-coding RNA is filed under the name Apteryx rowi (Okarito brown kiwi). RNAcentral's name for it is "lncRNA (ENSARWG00000012978.1)". Lineage: Eukaryota; Metazoa; Chordata; Aves; Apterygiformes; Apterygidae. The record is from RNAcentral.
CUAGGUUGCUCAUGCUGUAGGUUUUUUUGUUGUUGGUUUCUCUUCUCUCUCUCUCUCUCUUUUUUUUUUUUUUUGACCUGAUGCACCUUUGAUUCCCUCAUAAACCAGAGCAAUGUGCAGCAUUUAAGGCAUAUCUCAAAAGCGCGGAUCGUUGCAGCUCCUGGUGCCUGACUCUUGGCAGCACCGCCCAUGCAGAGGGACGGGGUGCUGAGCGGGGGGACAGACGCUGAAGGCUUCUGCGCGGAGGGGUUUGCCGCCAGGUUCAGACGCCGUCGCCCUGCAGUUUGCUGGUGCCGGAACGCGCCCGUCACGUGGCCUGGGUACUUCCUUACAGCAAGGCGCUGCCUGGAUCGAGAGGUGCAAGGCUGCUUUUACGCUCGGUCGUCAAGUGCUGCAAUUCACUUAGCGUUUUGUAAGUAGCUUUCUGUUGGUGGAGCUGAAAUGAAGCUGACUUGCGUUUGCAGGUAUGUACAACUCAUCUUAAAACUAGCCAGAAAAAUAAUUCGUAUCCUAGAAAAUUGGCUGUCCUUUAUUCUAGGCUUUUCUGCUCACUGGCUAUCUAUUGGUGUAGGUGAGCCUCAUGCCAUUGCGGACACGGAUCGUUUCAUAGGAAAGCCAGACCACUUCAGCUGUACAGUGGUUAUAGUGUCGGUAAAACUCUAGCUGCUUUAACCAAACUGAGAUGUGACCAUUGGUGUUUCCCAAAUGGGAGGGGGGAUUUUUUAGCAGUAAACAUCUUGACUUUUUUGUGGGUACAAAGGGAAUACAACUCUGUGUUUCUUGGAGUGAUAAGCAGGUCAUUUGUGAGGAGACAAUUCUGCUUCCUGUACACUGAGAUCUCAGAACAGAAGCAGCUGUUCUGUGGAGAAUACAUACUUUGUUAUAAUAAUAUUACUGUCUCUGCAACGCUUGGAAACUGCGCAUCCUGCACAGCAGUUUGUCUCUUAAGGAGGUCAGUAAUACAGGUGUCUCCAAUGAAGUUGCAUUUCAGUGCUUGAAAUCUGCCUCUUAUGCACAAAGUAUUUUUGUUUUAAGCUGGCUGUUCGUAUGUGUGGCUAUUUUUCUGUGUGUGUUAUUGAAUAGUGACUUUUUUCUUAAAAAUCUGUAUCUUUAAAAAUACACAUCUCUUUACCUGAUUUUUCUUAAGCUUUUGUUUGGUAAAGUUGUUCUUCUCUUGUAUAUGAAAAGAUAAGCU